Molecule: long non-coding RNA, 460 nt
Organism: Hyaena hyaena (striped hyena)
Lineage: Eukaryota; Metazoa; Chordata; Mammalia; Carnivora; Hyaenidae
Exons: 3
Source: RefSeq, a predicted model, not a curated record
GGAGAAAGCAGGUAGCGCUGCUAACCCGAGUCGUGGCUCGCUCAGACCAGGGACCAUUUCGGCUGGACCAGUGGAUCUUUCGGGGACUCUUGAAUUCACACGGGGCCUGAGCGCUGUCUUACCGAAGGCUGACUACACCGCUUGCCCUGAGCACCUGGGAGGCCGGUAUAGUCCAGCUGGGAGUCUGGAUUAUUUUAUUCCUCAUGCCAGAACGUGGAUCAUCCACCUUCUAAUGGGACUUGGGUUUGCGGCCGGGUGAGGAGGCCACAGAAAACGAGUACUGGACAGUUCAAGCCCCAAGAGAGAUGUUCACCAAAAAGUUCCUUGAACAUGGGUCUCUGAAAAACCCAGAUCUGAUGAACACCAGCCUAUCAGCAGAGUUCACUACACUGCCCAUCAGAGUACCACAUGUGGUAAGAGAGCAUGUGACAGGCAGCAGGAGAACAAAGGGACAUGGAGG